Molecule: non-coding RNA, 25 nt
Filed under: Arabidopsis thaliana (thale cress)
Lineage: Eukaryota; Viridiplantae; Streptophyta; Magnoliopsida; Brassicales; Brassicaceae
Source: RNAcentral
ACCGCAACCCGAUCUUGUAAGCCUA